GCAUGAAGCCAGAGGAACAUGCAGUUAACAACAUACAAGAAAUCUCCCCAUCUAGACAGAGUUUGGAAGGAGAGACAGCUUCAUCCUGAUUGCUCCCCAAGCUCCCAUUUGUGAGCUCCACUGAACAAGACACGUUUCUUCAAAAGGCUGAACAAUGCUCAGACAGAUGGAUUCAUAAGAGUACAGGAUUGAAACAGUAGGAUGGAUCCACUUCAAAUGUCACCUGGUCUUUGGCAGCUCAAACAUGUGGCUCUCUACAAGCAAGGUCUGAGAGAUGCUCUGCUCUAGCUGAUACUGUUGCAAAGAGCCGGCAGAGGAAAUCACUGAAGGAAAUCUAAAAGCGUUCCACUACCAAACAGGAAGCAAAGCAGCACCAAAAAGCUGUGCUGUUCACUGGGGAUCUGUUCAAACGAGAUGGUGUUGAAGAGAUUCAACCCAGGAUAGGAUGCUGCAAAGAUGAGUUUAAAGACUUGUAACAGAAUGAAAUGGAGCCUAAAAUUAGUACAGGGUGUUUUGCCUCUGCUCUAUAUUCCUGUCUGAUGUCGUGAGAUCGUAUCACUACUAGAGGCAAACGCUUUCUCACUGCUGCUGCUGUGAAAGGAUAACAGAAGAUGCCAAAACCUCUAGUGAGGCAUAUUAAAUGAAAAUCACUAUAAACUUUUCUACUGUCCUUCUGUCACUGUACAGUAUUUCAGUGUUAAUGUUUUGAUUCAGUAGUUACAUAUCUAGCAAAGAGCAAAGCUGUGCCUGAUUUCACAAUAAACAGCUUUUAAUGGGGUACAUACAACAUUAGCAAUAUUUUGAGUGGAAAACAUGAGAUGGGAGUUUGUUGCUACGGGUUUUAGGGGCUUAAGUAAAAAUUAAAUUUGGAAUAGCCUCAGAAAGCUCACUUACCUCUCGCUGUUGCAAGUAACAAUCCAAAUAAACUCCCACAUAAACCCCCCUGCAAGCUGAAAAAUAAUCCUAGAGUAAAAUCUAGUUUCAAAAUUAAGCCACCUUAAUUUUAAUAUUGUUUCUAUGCCCAG
Molecule: long non-coding RNA, 1025 nt
Filed under: Gallus gallus (chicken)
Lineage: Eukaryota; Metazoa; Chordata; Aves; Galliformes; Phasianidae
Source: RNAcentral